RNAcentral lists this long non-coding RNA (7622 nucleotides) under Homo sapiens (human). Its description in RNAcentral is "HSALNT0404113". The record is from RNAcentral. Lineage: Eukaryota; Metazoa; Chordata; Mammalia; Primates; Hominidae.
CUUUUCUAACAAUCUCUCCUUUAUCCCAUGUUUUCUUUUUCUCUUUCCUCUCUCCUCCCCAAAUGAAUAUUAACAAAAUCUCUUGCCUCCUGGUGGAAUCAGAAUGAAUCCAUACAGACUAUACCUAUGUCAAACAUACCUAAGCAAAAUGCCACAGAGGAAAACUCAUGUUUUUAGCUCAACCCCUUUAUUGAGCUGAUUUUUUUCUAUUGCCCUGCUUUCCCUGAUAAAUAUUAUAUAUAUAUAUAUAUAUAAGCUGAAUAGACAUGGGCAAAAUUUGGUUCUUCUGGAUCAUGGAAAUUGGGCUUCGGGAUACAUGUUGGAAUCUGAGUUCCAGCAUUCUUGCAUAGUCUGGCAUCUUUAUGAGAAAUGGUCAGAAUUCCAUCCUUGAAGAAGGCUUCUAAUGGAAGAUCUCUGGAAGCAGAGGCAGUAAGCUUCUUUCGGGAAUGGGGUUAUAUGUCCAUCCUAUGCAAAGUGACUCUUGCAGCCACCACAUCAAGGGAGGCCCGUCCAAGGCUCAUGUGCUCUCCUGGCCUUCUCACGGCCAGACUGCAUGGGGAUCGUGGUCAAUCCUAAGAGAUGGAAUGGGUUUUUCAAAAGCACUUCCCCUAGAGAGAGCCCUCUACACUGGUCCAAAGGCAAUGCCAAGAGACGCAAACGGUCUGUUUCCCAUGGGAGACGAUGAUAUACCCACACGUCCCCUGCCCAGGCAUGUCGGUGGGGCCAGACCACGGCAUCUGGUUUGACAUAGAGCAGACAGGGUGAGGAACACUUUGCUUCUGUUGGAAAUGAAUGAUACUUCCUCUCCCCAGAGUACUGGGCUCUGCAAUUCACCCCAAGUGCAGCUGCUGCUGUUCUGGGUGCUUGAACUAAGUGGGAGCUGGAAGGGAUGGGGUGUCAUUCUGUCUUUAGGAAGGAAGGGCUGAGACUUCCUUAUUUUCUCCCCCCUCUCCCUGCUGACUCAAAGCUCAGGGCAUAAAUCAUUCCAUUUCUGUUUUCCCAGUGGAGAUGGUAUGCCUCAGUCUCCUUCUCUUUUGCUCUUUCUUUCCCUGGAAGCAAGGGACUCCUUUUCAGCCUGGGAGUAUAAAUGGUGGCCCUGGAAAGAAGACACUGGGCUCCCAGGGGUUCAGGGCAGGAGGAUGAAGAAGCUACACGAGAUUUGGACUUCUUAGAGCUGGUACUCCCGGAGUCUAGAAUCAGAUAGACCUCCCGCGAGGAUAUGCUAAAAGUCCCAUAGAAAACAGAUUUUGAGGCUGCAGAUCUGACAGUUUACCAAAGGAGAUGAGACAUUAUAAAUGUAUGACUGCAGGGUUGAGAGUUAACGGAAAGACUCUUAGUUGUGUCAAAUUUGCAUAGAAAAUACAUAGAAGUCUGGAUUUUUCUAUGAAGAUCUGAAAUGACAUCUGAAUACUGGGCAGAAGAGUUCACAAGAACCAAAUUUUUCAAGAGAACUGUUUCCCAAGAAUAAUUUCCAAAAAAGAAAAAAAAAUGCUAUAAUGUUUCCAAUCCUCAUCUUGGCUUGAAUCAAGACAUAAAAAACCUUAAAGUGUGAUGAGAGGGAAAAAAUAUUUUUACCUUGGAAUAAAUUCUAUUUAAGUUGGGUUAGAUAUGGAGCUAUUUAUGGAAGCUUACAACAGUUCUUAAAACUUCCUCAGAAUCUUCCAUGAAUCUAGCAGCUUAAAGAGCCCUCCACAGGUGCAUCAUGAUAUGGCCAGCUGUCUCCAGUUUGUUCUCACCAUCCUUAUCCUAGAGGCAUUGAAAAUGAUUCCUUGGAAUAUAGGUGAGUCUUGGAGCAUAAUGUGUACCCAUUUCCAGACCUCACAGGCCAGAGGUGAGGACCUACUUGCCUUUGGGUCUUUCUAGCAAGAAGCUUGUCCUGGGAAGCCACAAAAUUAAAAUCUUGUCUGGAGGUAGAUUAUAUGGAAAUAGACGUUGAGACAAAAAUGCGCAGGCAAUUUAUUAAAGUAGUACUCCCAGGAGGAACCCAAAGUGGUGUGGGGAAAGCAAGUCAGGAAGGGAAGAAGCCAGGGUACAAUUUUAGGACAAGGACAAGACCCAGUCCCUGCCUAAUCCUGGGGAGGGAGUUCUGGAGUGAAAAUAGCAUCCUAGGUAAGAGAGCUGGGCUUUCAUGAUGCUGCCCAUCAGUCUUUGACUGAGAGUAGAAAGGGUGAUGGGAGCAUGCAAUUUCCCAAGGGCUCUGGCUUCCUGCAUCUGCAAUGGAAAUGGAAGUGGCUCCCAUAGCCCAAGGGCAAUCUUAUGAAGAUGGUGGUAGGGGCAGCAGGCUGUUAAAAUUAAUACACACAGAGAAGCACAGGAAUGGGCUCUCAGAAGCAGUGCAGAACAUUCACAGGGCUUGGGGAAGACUCCCAGCAGCACUGGCUAUGAUGGUUAAUCCUGUGAGUGAUAGAAUGCUUUGCAAUCCAUGGUGCAGGUGCUAUUACUACCCCUAAUCAUUGCUCCUCAAUCCCUCAAUAUUCCCAUCCUCCUCCACUUUGUCAGUUUCCCAAUUAAAAUAAAAUCGUGAAUUUCAGCACUAAAAUGUGGAAUUCCAUUUAAGAUGCACGAGAUUUUAUUAUGCAUAUAGUCUUUUCCUCAAAAUGCCAGGAGAAUCCUAGCAGGGCUUUCUUGUUACUAAUAGAAACCUUUGUUAUUGGUAUCAUGUCAAUUUAGUUUGAUUAGUAACUAAAUCAGAUGUCUUCUUUUUGCUGAGUUCCAAAGACCCUCCAGUUCCUAAACUGGAGUAAAUUAUAGUUCAGCAGAAAGAUGGACAAAUAGCUAACCAUGAUAUUGUGUGAUAAGUGUUAUAGGACCAUAAUAUUCUAGAAGCCCACAGGAAGGGGAAUUUACUCUACCUGGGAGUUUGAAGGUAGCCUUCCAGAGGUGGGAACAAUUGAGUGCAGCCCACAAGAUUUCCAUAGGUGGAGACAAAGUAGGGUUGUUGACAUUCCAGGAAAAAUGAAGAGCAAAUAAUUAAAGAUUAUUUAAGUAAAGAUUAAAAGAGCCAAGUGAUCUGAUCUCUGGGACAGUUUAGCAAUGUAACUCUAGCCUUAGCCUCAUGGAGUUUAGACAGCAAGAAAUCACAAGAAAAAUGGCUUUGGUUAUAGAAUCGCCUGUCUCCCCUUGUCCUUUAGCUUUCCCUUGGGAGAAGUAAAUGGAGCUGAAAGCAACCUCUAGCCUCCCACUGGAGGCUUCCCCAUCUUCCCACCACCCACCAUCCUCAACACAAAGCGUUCCUCCUCAGGAAGACAUGGAAGCUAUUUUAUCCACAUUCUUCUUAAAUGAGAUGGUUCAAAAAUUAUCCAAAAAUGCAAAACUUACUUAAUAAAAAUGUUACCUCCAAGUCAUUCCUUUGUAAGGUGACCAAUAAUCCUGAUUUUCCACUGACUGCCCUGGUUUUUAACACUUAAAGUCCCACAUCCUAAGAAAUCCCCUACUCGCUGGCAAAUUGCGAUGAUGGGUCACGCUAUUCCUCUGUGUGUCCUCAGCUCUUUUGAAGUCAGCUGUUAAAUGCAAUAAAAAAUAAUUGGAAAAUGAAAGCAUUAAUACAGGCCUGAUAUCCUAAUUUGUUAGCACUGAGUGCACAUUUGCCACGGCAUCUGUAAAAUCUAACUUUGUCAGGUGGGAAUGUAUAUACUUAAAAGUUGGGUGCAUGAAGUGCCCGCCUCUCUCUAUAGGGGCUCCGUAUGGAAGUGUCCUUUAAACUUCUACUGGAGUUAGUUGGUGAUUCUAGGUCCCUAUCAGCAGCAUGGCUUCAGAAUUGAGAAACUGUGAAACAACCACUGACAUGAACCCAACGGUGAUCCGGUUUCCUCUUGCCUUAUUCAAAUUGAACUUUAUUCCUUUAUUGUUGGUGCAACCUUACACCACAUGUUAAAUACACACCGUUUGUUCCUGGUUCACCUCAGACAGGCUUUUACCAAGUGAACUAUUUUGUGGCAAUUCCCGUCAAAGAAGGGAUAUGAUAAUGACUGUUUUCCACUGUUGACAGUGUGGGCUGGCAAAUAGAAAAGCAAUAUCUGCUAAGUACAGUUACCUUCUCCAGCCCACUGCAACCAGAGUAAUCCCGCCUUGCUUUGAAAGCCUCGCCGGAUCAUUCAUCAAUGUGUGGCAUGCUGGCUUGUAUUACCCCCCACCUCUUCUAUUGUUGUCUUAUUGUGGUUUAACUCUGAAUCAACUGUACAGGGAGGCUCCUAGGCCAGACUGUGAGGUAUGUGUGCCGUGGACCCUAUCUCUACCAGAUGGCCAGACACGUCUUACCUACAACAGACUGACUUUGAACCCAACACUCCAAGACCCACUUUACAAUAUUUGAAAUAGAAUAUUACAGAAAAUGCGAUUAUCACCCUGAAUAAUUUCAAAGAUCAACUGGAGAAGACAAAAGUAGUGAUUCAUUCUACAUUUCCUUCCAUUUUCAUAUUUUAGCAAUUGGUCAAUUGGUGCUUGACUGAUGAUCAAUCACACAUUUCAGCUUUAAAAACAAAUCACCAAGCCAAUGGGAUAUCUGUCUUUCAAGUUGGCAAUAUCAAUGGACAGGCCAGGUGUUUGAUUCUACCUGCUGUAUUCCGGCACGUCCUUCAUCACCAAGUUCCAUCAAACUGUCUGAAGCAUGUGAACCUCCAGAUCUCUUCUGUACUGAUAUUUCUUGCUAUGACAUUUCAAUUCCUGAGCAUAGAUCAGGCCCCUUUCACCCUUUUCCAAGUUUAGUUCUUGGCCUCUGGAAGAGCUAGCUGGGUACACACUGCAUGUUUUAUGGCCCUUUAUUUGCUCCAGCAUGUAGUGAUAUUAUUAGGCUAUAACGUCCUCAUUUGUAACAUACUGAACCACCUCCCUAUCAAUCCAUACAGUUUAUCCCUCUAAUAUCCACAGAGAAGAAUGUCAUUCAAACCCUGAUUCUGCACUAAUACCCCUCCUUCUACCUGGCAUCAAUGCAAGAGGGCCUAGGAGAAGUCCCAGGUCUCAUCUUGGGUAUUUAUUAUUAGCAGAACUGGGUAAACAACUAGGUUUUUCACUUUGGGAGCUUUCCCAUUGCAAAAUUGUGCCCUUUUGCCAAAUAUUCUAGUUAUUGUGGAAAAACUGAGCAAUGCGAAUUGGCUAAGUUACGUAAAGUGAAAGAUCUCAGCCCAGUUGUCAUAAAAAUCUAAGGGACUUCACACUGAAGGACUAGCAGGAGUAUAGAAAGAGGGUGUUGUGAACUCAAACUCUUGACUAUUCCUUAUCAGCCCUAGCAAUGCACAGGGGCUAAUUCAGCAAACAUUUCCUAGAGAAGCCACAACAAAUACAUUAAGCUAAAAAUGAAUUCAAAGAGAAAGCUGUCCAAGAUCAUCUUAUUCUAUCAUUGCACUUCAGCUUAUCAAAUGUGCACGUAGAGAUGAUGGAGACUCCAGCUGAAAAAGAGAUGAUAAAGAAUGCCUAAUAAUAGGGUACUGGUUUUUCUUAUUUUUCUUCUCCUUGACUGUCUGACCUGAAGAAUAAAAGCUAGAGAAUUAUGACUGAGCCAAAGUCAGGCUUCUGAAAUUAAAGUCAAACAUACAGUCUUUAGUUUCCUUGGUGUUUGACCACACCUAUACAGACUAGACAUGCAGUGACUGUGUUUUCUUUACUUCUUCAUUAAGAAAAAUUCCUGGAGUUGUUUCACCUCCAUGCAUUUAUUCCUGAUCACAUGCUGGAGAAUAUUUCCUAUCUGUCAUCCAUUCUGUUCCACUGGCUUUGGUUUGCCAUUGUGGUCACCCUAACUCAGAGUGAUAGUUGAGUUAUGACUGAAAACUCACCUCUGCUUACUUCCCUUCUGAAAUCUGUGUGUACUUAGUAGGCAGCAGUAAUUCUAAAGGUGCAGCCUUACCAUUUAUCAAUCAGUAAAUAACAUAUAUCACCUAGUACGCACAUCAGAAAAAGUACUUGGGUUAUCAAUUUAAACAAUCAUUGCAAUCUCUUGGGCAAAAGUCAUUAUGUUUUGUUUUUCAAAUUGCUCAGUGGUAUGUCUUAUCUUGCCAGUCAAAUCUCAUUUUACAGUGUGGACACCAACAGCAAAAUUGAACCGAAGCUGUAAUUCUUGCCUUGGGACACUAAAUGGUUAUAUUCUUUCUUUCUGGCAAGGAGUAAAGUCCAUUGGGGGUGCAAGGGAGAAAUGUAGGUUUGGUCUUAGCUAUAGAUUCAAAUUCUAGAGCUGCUACUUACUAACUCAAUGAUCUGAGGCAAGCGGAUUGACUUAUCUGAGAUGGUUUUGCACUAGUGAACUGAGAAAAACAGUUUACCUCCCAGGGUCCUUAUGCAGUUUGGAGAAGGGAAGGCAUGGGAAUUGUCCUGCACCACGUGUGUUCUGUCAGAAGACAUCAGGGAAUGCAGCUCCAUGGUGAGGGGCAAAGGUGGCCAGCAUCAAGGUCCUCUUCCUGCUGGUUGCACUCAGACAGGGAGCUCCCUCUGUUUUGCCUGAAAACUCACCUCUAGGAACAAUCAUGUGCAAAGCCAUCUUAUAAUACAGGAGUUCUCAUCUCCUCUCAUGUUUGAAUUGUGGGACACAGAAGCCGUGCACUCCAGUUCCUUCAAGAUCUGCUGUUUUCACUAGAAUGUAUGCAGAGAUCCUGAGCUGCCUUAAAAUAUCUUAAACAAUUUGCAUGCCCUCAAAGUGCUGCUGCACCUCCCAGGGAGAGCAAUGUAGGUACUAGGCUUUUCUGAGUCUUAUUCUAGUUCUUUUAUUGUCCAACCACUUGAAUAGUUAAAUAGUUUAGAUUACUUGAAUAAAUAUAAUUUAAUUAGCUUGUUCCUAGGAAACCAAGCUUUAUCAUGCCAGUUUUCCUGAAGUGCCUUGCAUUGUACUGAUAAGCUAUAAAGUUUGUGCCACUUAGUUAACUUUCUAACUUUCUUGGCUUUUAUAGGAUGUGUGUAUUCCCAGCAAUCAAGUGUGAGAAUCUAUCUCUUAUCUUGGUUACAGAACUUAACGAAAUAUUUGUCGCUGCUCAGUUACCCCUUCUGUUCUUCAUUUGUUGAUGAAGUGCUUAUACCACCUGACACUGAAUCAAGUACCAGAUAUAAUUUCUGUGCUGCUGUGUGAAGGCGCAAAGAUAUGUCUGCUAUUUGCUGUUCCUUGUGAUGUGGUGUGCUCUUACUAGCAAUAAGUUUACAGUGAAAAUGUUUACUUGAAUUGUAGAAAUGCACCUGGAUGGAGUGAACAUAGCCCAAGUUUGGAAGCAAUAACACUUGUCAGUUCACUGAGUCCUAGAGAUGGAAUUUUAGUUUAGUUAACAGGAAGCCCACGCCAGCAAGGUGCUUUCUAGUGUUUGUUUGGUGUUGGAUUUCUUCCUCAGAUUGCAGUGAGUGGGGUGAGAUUGGGAGGCACAGGUGAUGGGAAGCUUCUUUCAUAGUUGCACACUGGACCAUGUGAAUGUUUAUGGGGAACAUAUGAGAACAUGUAACCUAGGCACAAGCUGAAAUAAAAAUGACAAUACUGAUGCCAAUCUUUCAUCAUAAGGCUAACCUUACAUGUGGCCAUGAAGAACAUAUGGGCAUACAGAGUAACAGAGGAUUCUAUUAACUUCAGCAUUUUAUUCAAUCAAUCCAUCCAUCUACCUACAUAUCCAUUCAUCCAUUUAUCUACCUAUGCAUGCAUGCAUCUUUCCAUCCAUCCA